AGCGAACGCUGGCGGCAGGCUUAACACAUGCAAGUCGAGCGGGCAUCUUCGGAUGUCAGCGGCAGACGGGUGAGUAACACGUGGGAACGUACCCUUCGGUUCGGAACAACUCUGGGAAACUGGAGCUAAUACCGGAUACGCCCUUAUGGGGAAAGGUUUACUGCCGAAGGAUCGGCCCGCGUCUGAUUGGCUAGUUGGUGGGGUAACGGCCUACCAAGGCGAGGAUCAGUAGCUGGGCUGAGAGGAUGCUCAGCCACACUGGGACUGAGACACGGCCCAGACUCCGACGGGAGGCAGCAGUAGGGAAUAUUGGGCAAUGGGCGCAAGCCUGAUCCAGCCAUGCCGCGUGAGUGAUGAAGGCCUUAGGGUUGUAAAGCUCUUUUGUCCGGGACGAUAAUGACGGUACCGGAAGAAUAAGCCCCGGCUAACUUCGUG
This 435-nucleotide ribosomal RNA is filed under the name uncultured bacterium. Its description in RNAcentral is "partial 16S ribosomal RNA". It matches the Rfam family "Bacterial small subunit ribosomal RNA", at positions 29 to 507 of the family's 1533-position model. The record is from RNAcentral.